AAUGGUAAUAUCUCUGUAUUUCACUAACUUGUACAUAUUUUUAAUAUUACAGUUGUUAACUGCAUCUUACAUGUGUGGAUUAUCACCCUAAUCUUCAUUCCUACCUAACAAUAUAAUUAUUGGCUUACAUAUAUAUUGUACAUAUU
Long non-coding RNA from Neodiprion fabricii, 146 nucleotides. RefSeq lists it as uncharacterized. The transcript has 3 exons. The record is from RefSeq and is a predicted model, not a curated record. Lineage: Eukaryota; Metazoa; Arthropoda; Insecta; Hymenoptera; Diprionidae.